GGACGAACGCUGGCAGCGUGCUUAACACAUGCAAGUCGAACGGAAAGGCCCUGCUUUUGUGGGGUGCUCGAGUGGCGAACGGGUGAGUAACACGUGAGUAACCUGCCCUUGACUUUGGGAUAACUUCAGGAAACUGGGGCUAAUACCGGAUAGGAGCUCCUGCUGCAUGGUGGGGGUUGGAAAGUUUCGGCGGUUGGGGAUGGACUCGCGGCUUAUCAGCUUGUUGGUGGGGUAGUGGCUUACCAAGGCUUUGACGGGUAGCCGGCCUGAGAGGGUGACCGGCCACAUUGGGACUGAGAUACGGCCCAGACUCCUACGGGAGGCAGCAGUGGGGAAUAUUGCACAAUGGGCGGAAGCCUGAUGCAGCAACGCCGCGUGCGGGAUGACGGCCUUCGGGUUGUAAACCGCUUUCGCCUGUGACGAAGCGUGAGUGACGGUAAUGGGUAAAGAAGCACCGGCUAACUACGUG
RNAcentral lists this ribosomal RNA (469 nucleotides) under uncultured bacterium. RNAcentral's name for it is "partial 16S ribosomal RNA". It matches the Rfam family "Bacterial small subunit ribosomal RNA", at positions 27 to 507 of the family's 1533-position model. The record is from RNAcentral.